GGCGAACGCUGGCGGCGUGCUUAACACAUGCAAGUCGAGCGGUAAGGCCCUUUCGGGGGUACGACGAGCGGCGAACGGGUGAGUAACACGUGGGUGACCUGCCCUCAGCUCUGGGAUAAGCCUGGGAAACCGGGUCUAAUACUGGAUAUGACUCCAUGACGCAUGUUGUGGGGUGGAAAGCCUUGUGCGGCUGAGGAUGGGCCCGCGGCCUAUCAGCUUGUUGGUGGGGUGAGG
Molecule: ribosomal RNA, 234 nt
Filed under: uncultured bacterium
Lineage: Bacteria
Description: partial 16S ribosomal RNA
Rfam family: Bacterial small subunit ribosomal RNA
Source: RNAcentral